UUUCUUGAAGGCAUGAAAAAUGGUCUGUUUCAUUCAUUGCUGAAAUAAUGUGAUUUUACUAUUACCUGUUUUGAGUCACUAUAACCUCAAUAUAGUAACAACAGAAUGACAUAAUCAAUUUUAGCUUUUACAUCCGUUUAGAAUUACCCAACAGCAUUAGUAGUUUUCUCAAUGAUGUUUAGUGUUUGGAGGCAGAGGAUGCUAAGCGCAUAUAUCCAAAGGAGUAUACAACUUGGAGAGAAGAUCCAUCUAAGUUUUGUGUAGAUGGUGUAUAUCCUCUUCAAAAACUGU
This 291-nucleotide long non-coding RNA is filed under the name Solanum melongena (eggplant). RNAcentral describes it as "long non-coding RNA (SMEL_LNC000057)". The record is from RNAcentral. Lineage: Eukaryota; Viridiplantae; Streptophyta; Magnoliopsida; Solanales; Solanaceae.